UACGAAGGGUGCAAGCGUUACUCGGAAUUACUGGGCGUAAAGCGUGCGUAGGCGGUUUGUUAAGUCUGACGUGAAAUCCCCGGGCUCAACCUGGGACGUGCGUUGGAAACUGGCGAUCUAGAGUACGGUAGAGGGUGGUGGAAUUCCCGGUGUAGCAGUGAAAUGCGUAGAGAUCGGGAGGAACACUCGUGGCGAAGGCGGCCACCUGGACCAGUACUGACGCUGAGGCACGAAAGCGUGGGGAGCAAACAGGAUUAGAUACCCCCGUAGUCCU
RNAcentral lists this ribosomal RNA (274 nucleotides) under uncultured bacterium. RNAcentral's name for it is "partial 16S ribosomal RNA". It matches the Rfam family "Bacterial small subunit ribosomal RNA", at positions 524 to 797 of the family's 1533-position model. The record is from RNAcentral.